RNAcentral lists this ribosomal RNA (459 nucleotides) under uncultured bacterium. RNAcentral describes it as "partial 16S ribosomal RNA". It matches the Rfam family "Bacterial small subunit ribosomal RNA", at positions 338 to 795 of the family's 1533-position model. The record is from RNAcentral.
CCUACGGGAGGCAGCAGUGAGGAAUAUUGGUCAAUGGCCGGAAGGCUGAACCAGCCAAGCCGCGUGAAGGACGAAGGUGCCAAGCAUUGUAAACUUCUUUUGCCAAGGGACAAAAUCACGCUCGCGUGCCUGACCGAGGGUACCUGAAGAAAAAGCAUCGGCUAACUCCGUGCCAGCAGCCGCGGUAAUACGGAGGAUGCGAGCGUUAUCCGGAUUUAUUGGGUUUAAGGGGUGCGCAGUCGGAAGUGAAAGUCCGCGGUAAAAUUGGGGGGCUCAACCCCGUCCCGCCGUUGAAACUGGGGGUCUUGAGUGGGGGAGAGGUACGCGGAAUGCGUGGUGUAGCGGUGAAAUGCAUAGAUAGCACGCAGAACUCCGAUUGCGAAGGCAGCGUGCCGGCGCGCAACUGACGCUCAGGCACGAAAGCGUGGGUAUCGAACAGGAUUAGAUACCCGUGUAGUC